UUUUUUUUUUUUUUCCUUUUGAGUUGCUGACAUUAUAUCUAUGAGUUACCUGUUUAUGAGAGAAAUUAACUUUGUGAUAUAUUACAGUUUCUCCCCAGUUUGUCAUCUGUCUCUGACUUUGCUUGUUGCAGUUUUGCCCUGAGGAGUUCUGACUUUUAUGUGGUUGAAUUCAUCAGUAUUUUUAUUACUUCUGUCAUUUGGUCAUAGUUGGAAAGGACUUCUCCCCUCUAGUGCUAAAAGAAGAAUUACCCUGUGGUUUGUUUGGUUUAUUAGUUCAUUCUGCAUUUUACACAUAUUUAAAUAUUUGAUCUGUUUGGGAGUUAUCCUGCCAUAAGGGGUGAGGCAUAGAUCCAGAUACAUGACUCUUAGAGGGCAGUCCAUUUGUCUCAACACUGUUUAUUAAAUAAUCCAUCUUUUCUCUUCUGAUAGGGAAAAGUCAUUGCCACCUGUAACAUAUACUGGAUUUCCAUAAUUUUUUAAACGGUGCUAAGAACACUUAACAUGAGAUCUACCCUCUUAAAUUUUUAAGUGCUCAAUACAUUAUCAUUAACUAUGGGCACGGUGUUGUACUGCAGAUCUCUAGAACUUAGCUUUUCUUUUUUUUUUUUAGGGCCACAUCGACAGCAUAUGGAGGUUCCCAGGCUAGGGCUAGAAUGGGAGCUACAGCUGCCGGCCCACACCACAGCCACAGCGAUGCAGGAUCCAAGCCGUGUCUGUGACCUACACCACAGCUCCUGGCAAUGCCGGGUCCUUAACCCACUGAGUGAGGCCAGGGAUUGAAACCGCAUCCUUAUGGUUACUAGUCAAGUUUGUUACCACUGAGCCACAGUGGGAACUCCCUAGAGCUUAUCUUGUGUAGCUGAAAUUGUAUACUUAUUGAUAGCACUCAAUUUCCAUAUUUGGUGGGUUCUACUCCUGAAUUUUCGACUCUAUUCUGUUGAUCUUAGAAUUUAUGUUAAAUUUGGUGUCUAUCAUAAAUGAGUUUUAACAUGCUAUAAGGGUUCAUUACUAGUUUAGUUUUCUUCAGACUUUUUUCAGUAUUUUAGGAAAGAAAAAUUUCAAACAUAUAAAAUGUUGAAAGAAUUUUACAGUGAAUACCCCUUUGCCACCACAUAGAUUCUAUCACUUACACUUUACUAAUGUUGCUUUAGUACAUAUCUAUCCUCUAUACACUGAUUCAUCUUUUUGUUUUGGAUGCAUUUCAGAGUAAAUUUGAGACAGGAGUACACAUCCCCCUAAAUAGUUUAGCAUGCAUUAGCAUUAACUAAAGUUUAGUAUUUGUAGUAUUUUUUAUUUUGAGCUCAAACUUACACACAGUGAAAUGCAUAAAUCUUAGGCGCGUAUUCACUGGGUUUUGACAAAUGCAUGUGCUUGUGUAACCCAGACUCUUUUCAACCUACGAAGGAGAGCAUCACCCCAGAAAAUCCCCUCCAGCCUCUUGCCAGUCAGUCCGGACAUUCACCGCCCCAGAAGCUACGGCUGUUCUGACUUCACAGGAUACGCGUGCUUCUGUGGAAGGCUUCUUUCACGAAGCAUAAUGUCUUGGACACUUAGUUGCAUGUGUCUGUAGUUUGCUUGUUAUUGAUGAAUGAUACUCCGUUUCUGAAUGUACCACAUUUGGUUUCUUUAUUGUCUGAUGAAGCAACAGCUGCACUGUUUGUAGUCCUUGGCCAUUACGAAUAAAGCUGCUGUGUGAGCCUUCUUGCAUCGUUUAUUUUGUGGCUCAUGUGCUUUCUUUCUCUUUUUUGGAGGGAGGGGGCAACUACAAAUGAGUAAAAUGGCUGGGUCCUAGGAUAGAUUUUUAGCUUUUGAAGAGCCCCCCAGUGCCUCUCUAAGGUGGCGGCACCAGUUCAGGCUCCUCAACGGUUUCAGUUGCCCUCUCUCCUCAGCAUCAUUUGAUACUGUCAGUCUUUUUAAUUUUCCUCCUAUGGGGUGGGUAUAUGGUGGUAUCACACUGUGGUUUUAUUUUGCAUUUUAUUGAUGCCUAAAUGAUGACAUUGAACAUUUUUACAUGUGCUCCUUUGACUAUCUUUCCCUUAUGCAUUGUCUCUUAAAAUCUUUGCCUUUUUGAAGAUUGAGUGGUUCUCAUUUUAUGAUUGAACUGCUUUAGAUUUUUGUUGACUAUUCUUACUUAUCUUUAGUUCCCUAGGAAACUUAGGACCAGGUUACCUACGUCCAAAAAAACCACAUCCUUUGGGUUCUGUUUUAGAUAGAUUUGGGGACAAUCAUAUUAUAAUGCUGAUUCCAGCAUUCGUCAUGCUCAGCAACUUGGAAUGCCCUUCAAGUAUUUAAAUUUUCUUCUCCCCCACCCCAGAAGAACUAAAAAAUUAUCUUUCUAAAUUCCUUAUAUGUUUCUUAAGUUUAAUUCUAAGCAUUUUAUUUUUAUUAUUGCUAUUUUAUUUAUUUAUUUAUUUAUUUAGCUUUAUAGGUUCGUACCUGGAGGUUCCCAGGCUAGGGGUGGAAUCUGAGCUGCAGCUGCCGGCCUACACCACGGCCACAGCAAUAUGGGAUCCGUGCCGCGUCUGCGACCGACACCACAAUGGGAAGCCACAGUGGGAACUCCUAUUGCUAUUUUAAAUGGUGCCUUGUCUUUCAUUAUAUCUUCUAAUUUGUGUCUUUUACAUAGAAGAAAAAAAAAAGAAAAAAGAAAGCUAUUGAAUUUGAGAUAUAGUAAAAAAUUACUGGUUCACCUGAAAUUAAAAAAGAAAGAUAAUUGAUUUCUGCAAUGUAUAUUCUUUAUUUCUGGAUAUUUUCUUGUGCCAGGAUAGCUCACCUUUUCCCUUAAAUCAGGUUUUUACAUAUGAAUUUAUUUAUCCUUUAUUCUCAGCCAAUGAAAAAGACUUAUUUAAAAAGAUUUCUUGGCGUUCCUGUUGUGGUUCAGUGGUUAAUGAAUCUGACUAGAAACCAUGAAGUUGUGGGUUCGAUCCCUGCCCUUGCUCAGUGGGUUAAGGAUCUGGCAUUGCCAUGAGCUGUGGUGUAGGUUGCAGACGCGGCUUGGAUCCCGCAUUGCUGUGGCUCUGGCGUAGGCUGGCCACUACAGCUCCGAUUAGACCUGUCGCCUGGGAACCUCCAUAUGCCACAGGUGUGGCCCUAAAAAGACAAAAGACAAAAAAAAGAUUUCUUUAUGGAGUGCCCAUUGUGGUUCAUGAUAACAAACCUGACUAGUACCCAUGAGGAUGUGGGUUCGAUCCCUGGCCUCACUCAGUGGCCUCACUCACUCUCAUUGCUGUGAGCUGUGGCGUAGGUCACACAUUCGGCUAAGAUCUGACAUUGCUGUGGCCGUGGUGUGGACCGGCAGCCGCAGGUCUGAUUUGGCUCCUAGCCUGGGAACUUCCAUAUGCCAUGGAUGCUGCCCUAAAAAGACAAGAAAAAAAAAAAAAAGAUUUCUUUAACAAUUCAAACUUUUGUUUUUCCUGCUGUCAUAGAGAGAGAACAGUGCCUUCAGAUAUGACUUGUUCAGGUGAUUCUUCAUGUAGUUUUACUUUUCCUGCUUCUGAAAGUUAAUUUGGUGCAGGACGCUCCUGCUGCCAGCGGGUUCACCCUGACUGCUCUUCCUGCAAACAGACCACACGUGUCCUGGUUGUGCCCACUGUGUUUGAGCAUCAUGCUUCUGCUGGCUCUUUGAAAGUCUCGAGCUGCUGCAUCGUUCCUGUGGUUUGUCUGCUUCCCUCUCCUCGCCCACCCUCAUCAGUCUCCAUUUGCACUGGUGAUCAUUUUGAUAUCCUGAGGUCUGGGGCUUAACUUUCUUUGUUUUACCCAAAAUGAAUUUUUUGUAAUGCUCGUUUUCCUCCUCCCUUAUGAUUCUGUGUUUCUAUGAAGAAAAUGGUGGAAACACUGAAUUUCAUGUCACGUAAAAUCUUAGAUCUUACUCUGAAAAUGCUGGAUGGUCAGGAAGGGAUUAACAGUGUUCAGGAAAAGUUAUUUUGUCCGAUUAUCUCUGUCUUUAACCAGUUGUCCUUUUUUCCAAGGGAGGUGGACUUCCUGCUGCAUCCGAGGUAGACUGGCUUUAUCACUGGCCUUCGUGUCUUUGGAGAUUAGGAGAUAGGAUGUUUUGUAACACAUUUAAAUUUAAAUGCCGUUAUCAGUUAAUAUCCUUAAUAUGUCUCAGGCAUCAUGGUGUUCUCACUGUCAGCACAUUUCAUCUGCAGGGCUGCGUGUCCCCUUCCUUAGGGUUUUGUUGACGAUAAAUCCUGCGCGGUUCAUGCCGUCUCUUAAAUUGAUUGCUAUGUCUGGGUGGCUCCUCUGUCCCAGAGGCUCAGGCGCAACGUCGAGUCAUCCUUCUUCUCUGCUCCCAGUGCCUUCUCCUUCAGGCGUGCUGCCAGCCCCCCGGUACCUCUGCACUGCACGUUUUGUCCUCCUGCCUCUCCUUUGCUCUCCAGCCCCUCUCCUGCCCGUGCCUGUAAUACGGUCCUCCUGACGCCUUCUCCCUCGUCCAUGGCACUUCCGGGGUCCUCAGCGCCUGUGGAAUGAAGUUCCCAAUUCUCAUCCUGGUCCUUAAGACAAAGAACUUGGUCUUCACUCUCAGCGCUUCCCCAAAUGAAGGCAAAGCCUUGUUCCGUCAGCCCCUGUCGUCUCCGUCAGGCACCUUGGACCUGUUUUCGCUCUGAGGGUCGGCCCACUCGGCUUCCCCUUCCUAGAGCCUGUGCACGAUAUACACCCUUUGUUGGUCCAAAGUCUGCCUUUCUUCCCAGGCCCAAGUCCCAUGCCUCAGGGAUUCUGAUCCCCACUCUGAACUCUCAUUUGCAACACCACCUCCCAUUGUCCGGACUCGUAUUUAGUCUUUCCAUCCGUUUAUCCUGUCUUUCCAUCUGUUUAUCGUGUCUUUUCACGUGAAUCCCCACAGCCUCUGCUCUCCAGCACUGUCCCUAUAUUACUACGUAGAGAGGGGUUUUGAGCCUGAUGGGUGAUCACGUUAAUGGAUUUGUCUGAUUUUGCUGCUCUUCUCAGGGUCAUUCUUUCUAAUGAGCUAGAUGCUCUGCUUGCCCCUUGGAAGCAUUUGCCUGCUAUCGGAAGCCCCGCUGUGUGUUCACCUUCCAGCUUUUUGAUCUGUUGACCUGUGGGACGUUUUGCUAAUGAAUUAAUUUCUAACC
RNAcentral lists this long non-coding RNA (5090 nucleotides) under Sus scrofa (pig). Its description in RNAcentral is "lncRNA (ENSSSCG00055022731.1)". The record is from RNAcentral. Lineage: Eukaryota; Metazoa; Chordata; Mammalia; Artiodactyla; Suidae.